AGUGAACGCUGGCGGUAGGCCUAACACAUGCAAGUCGAACGGCAGCACAGUAAGAGCUUGCUCUUACGGGUGGCGAGUGGCGGACGGGUGAGGAAUACAUCGGAAUCUACUUUUUCGUGGGGGAUAACGUAGGGAAACUUACGCUAAUACCGCAUACGACCUACGGGUGAAAGCAGGGGAUCUUCGGACCUUGCGCGAUUGAAUGAGCCGAUGUCGGAUUAGCUAGUUGGCGGGGUAAAGGCCCACCAAGGCGACGAUCCGUAGCUGGUCUGAGAGGAUGAUCAGCCACACUGGAACUGAGACACGGUCCAGACGCCUACGGGAGGCAGCAGUGGGGAAUAUUGGACAAUGGGCGCAAGCCUGAUCCAGCCAUACCGCGUGGGUGAAGAAGGCCUUCGGGUUGUAAAGCCAUUUUGUUGGGAAAGAAAAGCAGCAGGUUAAUACCCCGCUGUUCUGACGGUACCCAAAGAAUAAGCACCGGCUAACUUCGU
This 491-nucleotide ribosomal RNA is filed under the name uncultured bacterium. RNAcentral describes it as "partial 16S ribosomal RNA". It matches the Rfam family "Bacterial small subunit ribosomal RNA", at positions 29 to 506 of the family's 1533-position model. The record is from RNAcentral.